AUAGCGUAUAUUAAAGUUGUUGCAGUUAAAAAGCUCGUAGUUGAAUUUUAGGCCCGGUUGGACGGUCUGCCUUUGGGUUUGUACUGUCCUGACUGGGCCUUACCUUCUGGUGAGCUGUCGUGUUGUUUACUCAGCGCGGCAGGGAACCAGGACUUUUACUUUGAAAAAAUUAGAGUGUUUAAAGCAGGCAUUCGCUUGAAUACAUUAGCAUGGAAUAAUAGAAUAGGACUUUGGUUCUAUUUUGUUGGUUUCUAGGACCGAAGUAAUGAUUAAUAGGGAUAGUUGGGGGCAUUAGUAUUUAAUUGUCAGAGGGGAAAUUCUUGGAUUUAUGAAAGACUAACUUCUG
Molecule: ribosomal RNA, 346 nt
Filed under: uncultured eukaryote
Lineage: Eukaryota
Description: SSU rRNA
Rfam family: Eukaryotic small subunit ribosomal RNA
Source: RNAcentral